Molecule: long non-coding RNA, 2523 nt
Organism: Helianthus annuus (common sunflower)
Lineage: Eukaryota; Viridiplantae; Streptophyta; Magnoliopsida; Asterales; Asteraceae
Exons: 9
Source: RefSeq, a predicted model, not a curated record
CUUAUUUUCAUUUCCCUCCUAUUCUUCACCCCAUUUCUCCGACUCUUGCUGCCAAGGUCUUGCAACCCCUCCGACCAAUCCCCACAUCUUGCCGCCGUCACCACCACUUCCACAUUUUUCCAUUGUCACCAUCGCAACCCCCUUGUCACCGUUACCACCGCAACCACCUCCGCUGCCGCCACCGCCACCACUCACCCCAUUCCCGUCGCGUCACCACCUCCGUCGCUAUUUCAGGCGAGUCAUAGAACAUUCUUUGUUUGAUUCAUCCAUCUUAGACAUUGUGAGUCCUAGAUUUUAAUUAUAUGAUGAAAUCAAGAAGAUGGGUAUUUGGGGUUUCUAAUGAAUUUUGCUAUAAUAAUCCAAAUUAUAGAAAUUGUGAAAUAUACGGUGUUUAUCUACUAAAGAUGGGUAUUUGUAGAGUUACAUGGAAGGAUAACACUUGAGUGCUUGUGGUAAAAAUGGCAAGCUCUUUAAAAAUGAAGGAUUUAUUGGUCCGAUGCCCCGACAAUAGCUGUCUUUCAGAAGGGUUGUGAACAUGUAUGGUCAGGUACACAUUCCUUGAUGAAAUUUUGCUAUCAAAAGAUGUUGUUAUUGGAGGGCAUCUGUUAUUUUCUAUAAAAAACAUUACAUGAUAGAACUUGAGAAGAUAGUGGAGUCAAGCUCCAACUUUGAUUUGGUUUAUGAUAUACUAUCUGGGCAAUUCGUGAUUAUAAGUUUUGCUUUAGUGUACUUCGACAUAAUGUAAUCUGUUUAUAUUAUUAUUUUACCUGAAACUUAACCCCAUUGGAAUUGAGUAUAGAAUUUGAUUUUGUUUAUAUACCAAUCAAAUACCACUAGUUGGAAAGAAUACAUCGGAAUCCUAUAGUAAAGAUUUGUAGAUGGGCUUAUUUGUGGUGUCAAAGCUGGACUAGGUUUUAUUUUUACAAUGGCUAACGCAAACAUACUGUAAAUCAAUCUUUGGAUGACUUCAAAAGUCAAUUGUAUUUGUUUCCCAAAAUAUUAUUGGUGCACAGGUAUGCCAUGUUAUGCUGAGUACAUGUAAAAUCUUACCACCAAAUGCCAAUAACGAACGUCUUUAGGUACGUAUACUAUAAAUUUACUCAGUUACUUCGUGUUUAAUAACGAGUUUGUUUACAUUGAUCAUGACUACGAGAUUUUUUAAUUAAGUUUACUAUACAUGCUCAUUUGUUCAAUUUCAUUAAAGACUCCCCUCCUGCAGAGUUUGUAUCUAAGAUAGAUGUCUUACAAAUGCAAAACAUAGAGUUGACUUUUUUUAUAUCCAAAUCCAAGCUAGACUCUUCUGUCAUCGUCUACUUUUUUUUUAUGCUCAGAUGUGAGAUUGGCUGCUGAGUCUAAAAGUAGAAGGUUGCUAGCUACGUAAAAUGGCUAGAAGAUGAAUUAGAACUUAAUGCUUUUCGUAAACCUAGAAGUUGUAGAGGUGGAAAUGAGAAAACUGUUGGAAGUCAAAGAACAACCCUUUUGGCAUUCUUCCAAUACUAAGGUAACUGCUACUAUCAUUGUUAAAAAAGAGUUAACACGAGGAUCAUUUUAUUCACAUGAUGAUUGUGGAAGAGGUUCACGAAUGAAGUUUUGAAUAUUUAUUUCAAACAUACCAUUGAUCCCGUGGUGAAUCUUUGACACUUUGGAGCUUUAGACAUAUACUAAGGGACGACAUGUCGUCUCUACAAACUCUUCUAUAGCAACAUCUAUAGGGACGACUUUUGUUUGCCUAUAGGGACGAGGCUGUAGAGAGAAAUUUUAUAGAGACGAUAUGUCGUCUCUAUAGGUUAAAAAGGCCUAUAGAGACACCAUGUCCUCCCUAUAAGCUGAAAAAAAAUGUCGUCCCUAUAAGGUAUUUUUCUUGUAGUGAAAGACAACCGAUGUGCCUUCUUAAACGUGAACACAAUCAGUGUUGAGUCAAAUGUGUAGAGAAAUGAGAGCAGAAGUUGAAGAACACAUUAGGACUAUGGUGCGUUAUCAUGAUGAUAAAGAAUUCAUCCUUGUACCUUAUUGUGCCGAUGGACAUUGGACUUUGUUCAUUAUUGCCGUAAAAGUACGACGAGUAUAUAUUUUAGAUCAACUAUUCAAAGAGGGCAACAAGAAUCCUAGCCACUAUCGUCUUACAAAUGUGAUUGAAAGCGCCUUGCUGCCAAUAAAACCCACAUUUGAUAUGGUUAAUUGCAAUCAACAAGCUGAGACAUGAGAAUGCGGCUAUAUACUUCUUCAAUCUAUGUUCGACUUUGUCAAUGUGUAUCAAAAGCAAUUUCCCAAAAUGUGGAACGACAUGAAAGAGGUUACAGAUGAAGAUAUAGAAAAGACGUUGAAGGAAUUGAUGCCAAUUUUUUUUACGGGUUGGGUAUUCCUUCGUUUAAAUAUAGUUUGUUUAUGGUUUUAAAUAGAUUAAGUAGUGAAUUGUUAUUUUACCAAUUAAUAUUGUAGACUUUCGGGUUAAAUGUGUAUUGGUUCACUUUUUACUUGUCCGGAUUUGAUUACGUUGAAUAUAUAAGAGGAUUGAUUGGAUUU